AUGAGGCCGUCUGGUUGCAGGAAAACGAGCUCAGGGCUGCCACUGAUUCUACAUGAUGACUGGUGAAAAUAUAUGGACUGGUGAUUGGGAAUCACUACUUAGAAGAUAAAAAUAUAUCCAUUUCUAAUCACUUAUAAUUUUGCUGAAUAUUUUUAUUUUUUUCUAUCUAGAACUUAUGUUUAAAUCUUUUUUAAAAGUUUCAAAUAAAACCGGGGUUUCCUCCAUGGUGAAGAAAGCU
This is a non-coding RNA of Saimiri boliviensis boliviensis (Bolivian squirrel monkey), 238 nucleotides long. Lineage: Eukaryota; Metazoa; Chordata; Mammalia; Primates; Cebidae. The record is from RefSeq and is a predicted model, not a curated record.